AGCUGUCCCACACUCUUCCAGUUUUGCGAGAAAUAUGAGGUGACUCUUCUCAGUAAAAUAAAAGCCAUAAUUAUUUGGAUUUAGUGAAACAGUUCAUUAAUGACUUCUGAUAGUUUGUGGCACUGGUGAAACAAGGGCAUAAUAAGACUAUUGUUUUCUUGAAAACAAAAUUCUAAAACACCAACAUUUUAUAGCUUUUUAUGUUUUAGGCAGGAGUAAAGUCCUUAUUGCCCUUCAAAUGCACACAAACACACACAAAAAAAAAGUUUUCAAGUAAGGUCCUUGAAAAAGAGGAAGGCAUUAGCUCGAAGUGACAAUUCCCAUUGGAGGCAGAGCAUCAGAAAACAUACGUGGGUGGUUAAAAUAUUCCAAAACCAUACAAAUUCCAAUCUUAAAUAGAGGUGACUAAACCAGAAGCAGAAGGCCACAAAGGAAGCUGUAAUAGAAAAAUAUAGAAAAAUAGAAAAAACAUUCUCUGGAACUUUUCUCUAGAGCAUCAGUUCUGUCUCAUCCUGCAGUAAAGAGGUAGAGCUUUUAUUUUAUUUUUCCAAUUAUUUUUAUUGAAAGUGUAUUUCUGUUGUUCUUCAUGUUCCUGGUUCAGUUUCUUCCUCUUACUUUCCCACCUUGAAAGUCCUUUUUAGAGUAGCAAUUUAGAUGUCAACCCCUGAAUGGUUGUUUUGCAGCAUCCAUAGUUCUAUUUGACACGGUCCAAAACUAGUCCCCACCUUAUAAAGGAAAUAUUUCAUAGGUCCCUAAUCCA
This 760-nucleotide long non-coding RNA is filed under the name Anser brachyrhynchus (Pink-footed goose). RNAcentral describes it as "lncRNA (ENSABRG00000021823.1)". Lineage: Eukaryota; Metazoa; Chordata; Aves; Anseriformes; Anatidae. The record is from RNAcentral.